GGGCUCAUAGCUCAGUUGGUUAGAGCAUGCGCUUGAUAAGCGCAGGGUCGAUGGUUCAAGUCCAUCUGGGCCCACCA
This 77-nucleotide transfer RNA is filed under the name Opitutaceae bacterium TAV3. RNAcentral describes it as "tRNA-Ile". It matches the Rfam family "tRNA". Rfam says of the family: Transfer RNA (tRNA) molecules are approximately 80 nucleotides in length. Their secondary structure includes four short double-helical elements and three loops (D, anti-codon, and T loops). Further hydrogen bonds mediate the characteristic L-shaped molecular structure. tRNAs have two regions of fundamental functional importance: the anti-codon, which is responsible for specific mRNA codon recognition, and the 3' end, to which the tRNAs corresponding amino acid is attached (by aminoacyl-tRNA synthetases). tRNAs cope with the degeneracy of the genetic code in two manners: having more than one tRNA (with a specific anti-codon) for a particular amino acid; and 'wobble' base-pairing, i.e. permitting non-standard base-pairing at the 3rd anti-codon position. Lineage: Bacteria; Pseudomonadati; Verrucomicrobiota; Opitutia; Opitutales; Opitutaceae. The record is from RNAcentral. RNAcentral also lists the same sequence under 1 other name.